This 301-nucleotide ribosomal RNA is filed under the name uncultured bacterium. RNAcentral describes it as "partial 16S ribosomal RNA". It matches the Rfam family "Bacterial small subunit ribosomal RNA", at positions 510 to 808 of the family's 1533-position model. The record is from RNAcentral.
AGCCGCCGCGGGAAUACGAAGGGGGCUAGCGUUGUUCGGAAUUACUGGGCGUAAAGCGCACGUAGGCGGAUCGAUCAGUCAGGGGUGAAAUCCCAGGGCUCAACCCUGGAACUGCCUUUGAUACUGUCGAUCUGGAGUAUGGAAGAGGUGAGUGGAAUUCCGAGUGUAGAGGUGAAAUUCGUAGAUAUUCGGAGGAACACCAGUGGCGAAGGCGGCUCACUGGUCCAUUACUGACGCUGAGGUGCGAAAGCGUGGGGAGCAAACAGGAUUAGAUACCCGUGUAGUCCCUGUCUCUUAUACA